CUCGUGUCGGUCGUAUUGUAAAUUUCAUCUAAUUUCCAUGUCUAUUUUUUACUGACAAGUCCUACAUCAAAUAUAUCAGUACAUAGCUUUGGAUCAAUACUAUCAUUUUAUGAUAGACAAUUAAUAGGGAGAAUACAGCAUAAAAAAUGUCCAACCCUUACACUUUACAGCAACUAUAAAAUAUGCAUGCCCCAAGCCAGAAACCGUUUAAAUAGUGCAUAUAACACUUAUUUUAUGUUUUUUUUAGCCCAAAAAAGGUCCCAAAAAAUUUCCGACUCGCUCCGCUCGGCAAAAUUUAAUAUCUUCGCCCCCCUUUCAAAAAUCCGGGAUCCGCCCCUGAUUUUUACCACAUCAAAUGCACAAUGAGCAAACCCAUAUAUCGCAUUGCCCAGAUCGCAUAGUAUGCUAAAAAAAUAUUUAAAAAAACCAGAAGUAACAGAAAUGUUGUUGUUAAAUCAUUUCAAACGAGAUCACUUAUAUAUAAAAAUAUACAUAUAUGCAGCAACAACUGAACAGCAACAAACACAGCAGUCAAUGUGGCGAGAUGAAAUAAUUUUGUAGGCACCUAGGACUUAUAUAUUAAAAUGUUUCCCAAAUUAAAUGAAGCAUUGGGCCCUAUAAAAAAAAAUCCUGUCAAAAUAGGAAACACAUUUUUAAAAGGGGGUUCCAAAUCUGGAGAUAGGGUUUCCAAAUAGAUUUCCCUUUUCAAAUUUAUGCAUUUAUCGUUAAAAAGGGGUCCAACCUUCGGACCCCUCCCCCUUCUUACGCCGAGGGGUGUACCGCACCUCCCUUUAUCCAAUCAUAUGUUUAGAAAGUCAGGCUGAUCAUUUCACAAAUAUCAAUUUGACAAAUAUUAAUACUAUAAUCUAUUUAAUAAGGUUUGGCAAAGAAGUAAUAAUAUGUAUAUCCAAAACAACCCGCGAUUUUAUACCUAUUUUGACAUUUACAGAAAGUUCUGUAACCAGAGGCGGAUCCACCCAUUGUUUUAAAAGAGGGUUCCAAACACAGGCACUUGUU
Molecule: long non-coding RNA, 1017 nt
Filed under: Mytilus galloprovincialis (Mediterranean mussel)
Lineage: Eukaryota; Metazoa; Mollusca; Bivalvia; Mytilida; Mytilidae
Source: RNAcentral